UGGCGUCUGUUCGGCGAGUGAAGCGGCAAAAGCUCAAAUUUGAAACCCUCGGGAUUGUAAUUUGAAGAUUUGGCAUUGGAGAAAGCUAACCCAAGUUGCUUGGAAUAGUACGUCAUAGAGGGUGACAACCCCGUCUGGCUAACCGUUCUCCAUGUAUUGCCUUAUCAAAGAGUCGAGUUGUUUGGGAAUGCAGCUCAAAGUGGGUGGUAAACUCCAUCUAAAGCUAAAUACUGGUGAGAGACCGAUAGCGAACAAGUACUGUGAAGGAAAGGUGAAAAGAACUUUGAAAAGAGAGUGAAAUAGUAUGUGAAAUUGUUGAUAGGGAAGGAAAUGAGUGGAGAGUGGCCGAGGUUUCAGCCGCCCCUCGUGGGCGGUGUACUGCCGACGCCGAGUCAUCGAUAGCGAGACGAGGGUUACAAAUGGGAGCGCCUUUCGGGCGUUCUCCCCUAACCCUCCACACUGCCACCGACGACAUAAUCCACCCAUUUCACCCGUCUUGAAACACGGACCAAAG
Molecule: ribosomal RNA, 514 nt
Filed under: Yarrowia lipolytica
Lineage: Eukaryota; Fungi; Ascomycota; Dipodascomycetes; Dipodascales
Description: partial large subunit ribosomal RNA
Rfam family: Eukaryotic large subunit ribosomal RNA
Source: RNAcentral